AUGUUAUCUCAGCUUUGCGUGACCACAACAGGGGAGGGCAAAGAAGUAAUGCUUUUCCAAAACAGAAGUCUGUUUCACACGCACACCCCCUACCCCCCAUCAGAGCGCUCCCUUUGCCCGCAGCGGAAGUUAAUGUUAUCAUGUCAGACAUUUGAUAUGAACACAAUGAUUUCAAAAUGUAGAGAUACCGCUGAUGCACUUGGGGGCGAUUGCCAGCAGGGCAAACAAGUGACUCAUCAGAGGAGGAAAAUCGUCCGCUCGAAAACCGACUGUGGUACCCACGUGAGGAUCUGGCUUGCCAGGCUCCAGUGCCGCCUUCUGACAAACGGAGGGACUCCCUCGGCCAAGAGAUUCACAAAGCAGCGUUUUUGUGAAUGAACAAACGCAUCUUGUCAGCCCGUGCCAGCAGAAAUGUUAAGGAGCAAAACCAAAGUUUGAUUUUUGUAAGCAGGGUAUACUAUCGCCGCGGCCCACGUGGCACACACACAGGCAGCCAGGGUUCUUCUGCUCCCUGAGCCGUGGAGAUGAGAAGGGUGGGCUGCCCCACACAUGCGAGCACUCGGGGGAGCUCGCCUUUCUCAUCCUGAGGGCCCCACCUUUUUCAGAAGGGUUCACAGAAUUGCCCAAGGGCCCGGUCAGCGACUCUUGGCCAGUGGACAGUUAUCUGGGCCUGGACGUGUUGGAAGAACGCAGGUGGAAAAGGACUUGUCAGCAGCAUGAAGCCCUCUCUAUCUGCUGUCUAAAGCCCUUCAGUGAAGAGCCCAGUGUCACGGGGUGACUGUCGAACUGCGUGGACAUCUGGGGGGUUGACAUAAGUUGUGAGUAUCCCAGCCACGACGCCGUGGGAUGGUUUUCGUGUGGGUAUGAAGUCGCUGGGUUUGGAAUUUGUCACUGAAAUCAGGCAAGUCACAGUAUGACUGCGUGGUAGGGUCACCUCCUAGGCUUUUUCUUUCUUACAUCCAACACAUCUGGUACGUCUUACUUAGGACGUUGUACUAUGUCCAUUAAAAUGAUUCCAUAAGGCAAGCCACCCAGAUGCAUUUACUAGCUGAAAAGCACUUUUUUAAAUAGACGAGGAUGAAUUUAAUAUGGGCCGAUGUGACCGUCUGGGGAAUCUUUUUAUAGCGAGCUUACAUUACUGUAUGUGGGGAAAUUUUUGUCUUCUACUCCCAUUCAACAAUAGCAAACGUGGUUUUAUAAGAUGAACAUUAUCGUGUUAGCUGCCUGUGAAAAAAUAAAGACUUGGCGUUAUCAGCA
This 1257-nucleotide long non-coding RNA is filed under the name Sus scrofa (pig). RNAcentral's name for it is "lncRNA (ENSSSCG00055002735.1)". Lineage: Eukaryota; Metazoa; Chordata; Mammalia; Artiodactyla; Suidae. The record is from RNAcentral.